GGGGCUGACUUGGAUUUCGACAGAUUUCUUGUCGCACAGAUAGCAUGCCAAGCGCUACUUGUAAAACAGCAACAAAAAUAACUGUAAACAACGCAGAUUACGCUCCAGCUUACGCUAAAGUUGCGUGAGUUAAUCUCCUUUUGGAGCUGGACUGAUUAGAAUUUCUAGCGUUUUAAUCACUCCAUAACCUUAAGCUAGACGCUUUUAAAAGGUGGUUCGCCUUUUAAACUAAGAAACAAGAACUCUUGAAACUACCUCAAGGUUUUAGAAAGUUGGACCAGAGCUAGUUUUAAGGCUAAAAAGCUAAUCAAUUUUCUAAGCAUUGUAGAAGUUUGUGUUUAGGACAAGAUUUUUGGACUGGGGUUCGAUUCCCCACAGCUCCACCA
Molecule: transfer-messenger RNA, 386 nt
Filed under: Helicobacter pylori
Lineage: Bacteria; Pseudomonadati; Campylobacterota; Epsilonproteobacteria; Campylobacterales; Helicobacteraceae
Also listed under: 1 other name
Rfam family: transfer-messenger RNA
About the family: Bacterial tmRNA, also known as 10Sa RNA or SsrA, is named for its dual tRNA and mRNA-like properties. Its role is to liberate the mRNA from a stalled ribosome.
Source: RNAcentral